Molecule: ribosomal RNA, 275 nt
Filed under: uncultured bacterium
Lineage: Bacteria
Description: partial 16S ribosomal RNA
Rfam family: Bacterial small subunit ribosomal RNA
Source: RNAcentral
CCGUUGCCGGCGACCGGCGCACGGGUGAGUAACACGUAUGCAACCUGCCCGUGGCAGGGGGAUAAGCGGGGGAAACCCCGUCUAAUACCGCGUAACGCGGCCUAGGGACAUCCCAAGGCCGCCAAAGGGAGCAAUCCCGGCCACGGAUGGGCAUGCGGCGCAUUAGCUAGUCGGCGGGGUAACGGCCCACCGAGGCGACGAUGCGUAGGGGUUCUGAGAGGAAGGCCCCCACACUGGUACUGAGACACGGACCAGACUCCUACGGGAGGCAGCAG